This 475-nucleotide ribosomal RNA is filed under the name uncultured bacterium. Its description in RNAcentral is "bacterial SSU rRNA". It matches the Rfam family "Bacterial small subunit ribosomal RNA", at positions 329 to 795 of the family's 1533-position model. The record is from RNAcentral.
GUCCAGACUCCUACGGGAGGCAGCAGUGGGGAAUCUUCCGCAAUGGGCGCAAGCCUGACGGAGCAAUGCCGCGUGAACGAAGAAGGUCUUCGGAUUGUAAAGUUCUUUCCUUAUCGAAGAGAGGGUAUAGAGUGAAAAAUGAUAUACUAGGACGGUAGAUGAGGAGGAAGCCCCGGCUAACUACGUGCCAGCAGCCGCGGUAAUACGUAGGGGGCGAGCGUUGUCCGGAAUCACUGGGCGUAAAGGGCGCGUAGGCGGUAUGUCAAGUCAAGGGUGAAAUCCCCGCGCUCAACGUGGGAACUGCCUUUGAAACUGGCAAACUGGAGUGUGUGAGAGGAUAGUGGAAUUCCAGGUGUAGGAGUGAAAUCCGUAGAUAUCUGGAGGAACAUCAGUGGCGAAGGCGACUAUCUGGCACAUAACUGACGCUGAGGAGCGAAAGCGUGGGUAGCAAACAGGAUUAGAUACCCCAGUAGUC